RNAcentral lists this ribosomal RNA (1075 nucleotides) under Staphylococcus aureus. RNAcentral's name for it is "bacterial SSU rRNA". It matches the Rfam family "Bacterial small subunit ribosomal RNA", at positions 1 to 1055 of the family's 1533-position model. Lineage: Bacteria; Bacillati; Bacillota; Bacilli; Caryophanales; Staphylococcaceae. The record is from RNAcentral.
UUUAUGGAGAGUUUGAUCCUGGCUCAGGAUGAACGCUGGCGGCGUGCCUAAUACAUGCAAGUCGAGCGAACGGACGAGAAGCUUGCUUCUCUGAUGUUAGCGGCGGACGGGUGAGUAACACGUGGAUAACCUACCUAUAAGACUGGGAUAACUUCGGGAAACCGGAGCUAAUACCGGAUAAUAUUUUGAACCGCAUGGUUCAAAAGUGAAAGACGGUCUUGCUGUCACUUAUAGAUGGAUCCGCGCUGCAUUAGCUAGUUGGUAAGGUAACGGCUUACCAAGGCAACGAUGCAUAGCCGACCUGAGAGGGUGAUCGGCCACACUGGAACUGAGACACGGUCCAGACUCCUACGGGAGGCAGCAGUAGGGAAUCUUCCGCAAUGGGCGAAAGCCUGACGGAGCAACGCCGCGUGAGUGAUGAAGGUCUUCGGAUCGUAAAACUCUGUUAUUAGGGAAGAACAUAUGUGUAAGUAACUGUGCACAUCUUGACGGUACCUAAUCAGAAAGCCACGGCUAACUACGUGCCAGCAGCCGCGGUAAUACGUAGGUGGCAAGCGUUAUCCGGAAUUAUUGGGCGUAAAGCGCGCGUAGGCGGUUUUUUAAGUCUGAUGUGAAAGCCCACGGCUCAACCGUGGAGGGUCAUUGGAAACUGGAAAACUUGAGUGCAGAAGAGGAAAGUGGAAUUCCAUGUGUAGCGGUGAAAUGCGCAGAGAUAUGGAGGAACACCAGUGGCGAAGGCGACUUUCUGGUCUGUAACUGACGCUGAUGUGCGAAAGCGUGGGGAUCAAACAGGAUUAGAUACCCUGGUAGUCCACGCCGUAAACGAUGAGUGCUAAGUGUUAGGGGGUUUCCGCCCCUUAGUGCUGCAGCUAACGCAUUAAGCACUCCGCCUGGGGAGUACGACCGCAAGGUUGAAACUCAAAGGAAUUGACGGGGACCCGCACAAGCGGUGGAGCAUGUGGUUUAAUUCGAAGCAACGCGAAGAACCUUACCAAAUCUUGACAUCCUUUGACAACUCUAGAGAUAGAGCCUUCCCCUUCGGGGGACAAAGUGACAGGUGGUGCAUGGUUGUCGU